Molecule: long non-coding RNA, 848 nt
Filed under: Homo sapiens (human)
Lineage: Eukaryota; Metazoa; Chordata; Mammalia; Primates; Hominidae
Description: HSALNT0030773
Source: RNAcentral
GGCUUUCUAACUCCCACCCCUCCACUCCCUUCCUUCCUUCCCUUUCUGCUUCCUUCCUUCCUUCUCCCAGCUUUCCACCUUUGAUUCCAAAAGUCAGUCCCAGGGCAGUGGCAGGGGGCAGCAGGAUUGCUGGCCCUCAGGGUACCUGUCUAGGGCAGGAGGGAAGGGCCCUGGGAAGUUAGGAUCAUGGCCCGGCUGUCUAGGAGGACCCAGGGGACCUGACUCAGGCAGAGCAGCAAAGGGAACAAGGCAAGUGCAGAGAUACUGGACCCAGGGAAGGGCAUUGACUCAUGUGGGGCACUGGCCUGAGCAGGGAAGCCCUUCUGGCUGGGAUUCCAAGAAGGAAUAUUUCUCAGCCAGUCCCCAGUUUGACACCUCCAAAAAUUAAUGCCAGAGGCCCCCUCAGCAAAGCCUGGGGCACGAUAGGCGCACCAUCAAGGAGCAUCAAAUCAAACUGACCAGGAACUCGAGGAACGUCGCUUCCUCCAACACCUGAGAAAACAGGAGGCAAAGCCGGGCCAGGUCUUAUGGAAAGACUGGGAGAACCAGGGAGCCCAGAACAUCUGAAAGAAGGACUUCAGGACCUAGCCCUGAAGGAGCUAGGUUCAGGUGCUGAAAAGAAGCCGCCAGUGCUGGGAGGUGGGGCUCUACUGGAGUAAUAUCUCCUGAGCUGCAAGUAGCUGCACUCCCAUGUUCCUGUGUGUCCACAGAGCCACUAGGCUCAGGCGGAUACUCUGCUUCUCACAGGUCAGCCAUUCAACCCUCCUGGCCACCAUGAGGCAGGAAUCAGCACCCCCAGCCUUCAAAGUUCAGUAUGUACUCUACAUGAACAACAUGUCUCAACUCGG